AAACUGGUAGGCUUGUUGGGGAUACUGCUAGACUUGGGACUGGGAGAGGGUAGAGGUACUACUAGGGAAGGGGCAAAAUCCUAUAAUCCUAGUGGGACCACCUGUGGCGAAGGCUUCUACCUAGAACAGGUCCGACGGUGAGGAACGUAACCUAGGGGAGCGAUCGGGAUUAGAUACCCCGGUAGUCCUAGGCGUAAACGAUGACCACUUGGUGUUACAAACCUCAAGAGGGUUUGUAGUGCCGGCGCGUAGGUGUUAAGUGGGCCACCUGGGGUGUACGGCCGCAAGGUGAAACUAAGGAAAUUGGCGUGGAGCACACAAGGAGUGGAGGCUACGGUUCAAUUGG
Molecule: ribosomal RNA, 346 nt
Filed under: uncultured archaeon
Lineage: Archaea
Description: bacterial SSU rRNA
Rfam family: Archaeal small subunit ribosomal RNA
Source: RNAcentral